CUGUCGAUAGCUCAGUUGGCAGAGCGGUGGACUAUAUAUCCAUUAGUCGCCACGGAUCCAUGGUUCGACUCCGGUUUGACAGA
This is a non-coding RNA of Caerostris extrusa, 83 nucleotides long. The record is from the annotation of a GenBank genome assembly. Lineage: Eukaryota; Metazoa; Arthropoda; Arachnida; Araneae; Araneidae.